UACGUAGGUGGCGAGCGUUGUCCGGAUUUAUUGGGCGUAAAGAGCCCGCAGGCGGUUUUGUUAAGUUUCAGGUGAAAUACUCCCUGGCUCAACUGGGAGGGUCCUGGAAAACUGGCAGACUUGAGGCAGGGAGAGGGAUGUGGAAUUCCCGGUGUAGUGGUGAAAUGCGUAGAUAUCGGGAGGAACACCAGUGGCGAAGGCGGCAUCCUGG
RNAcentral lists this ribosomal RNA (211 nucleotides) under uncultured bacterium. RNAcentral describes it as "partial 16S ribosomal RNA". It matches the Rfam family "Bacterial small subunit ribosomal RNA", at positions 524 to 732 of the family's 1533-position model. The record is from RNAcentral.